UACGGAGGAUGCAAGCGUUAUCCGGAUUCAUUGGGUUUAAAGGGUGCGCAGGCGGAUUGUUAAGUCAGGGGUGAAAUCCUACAGCUCAACUGUAGAACUGCCCUUGAUACUGUCAGUCUAGAGUAUAGUUGAAGUGGGCGGAAUGUGUCAUGUAGCGGUGAAAUGCUUAGAUAUGACACAGAACACCGAUCGCGAAGGCAGCUCGCUAAGCUAUAACUGACGCUCAUGCACGAAAGCGUGGGGAUCAAACAGG
RNAcentral lists this ribosomal RNA (253 nucleotides) under uncultured bacterium. Its description in RNAcentral is "partial 16S ribosomal RNA". It matches the Rfam family "Bacterial small subunit ribosomal RNA", at positions 524 to 776 of the family's 1533-position model. The record is from RNAcentral.